AGAGUUUGAUCAUGGCUCAGGAUGAACGCUAGCGGCAGGCCUAAUACAUGCAAGUCGAACGAUACUAUCCAGCUUGCUGGAUAGGAAAGUGGCGCACGGGUGCGUAACGCGUAUGCAACCUACCUUAAUCAGGGGGAUAGCCCGAAGAAAUUCGGAUUAACACCGCAUAAAAACACAGUACAGCAUUGUACAAUGUUCAAAUAUUUAUAGGAUUAAGAUGGGCAUGCGUGUCAUUAGCUAGUUGGCGGGGUAACGGCCCACCAAGGCGACGAUGACUAGGGGAUCUGAGAGGAUGACCCCCCACACUGGUACUGAGACACGGACCAGACUCCUACGGGAGGCAGCAGUAAGGAAUAUUGGUCAAUGGAGGCAACUCUGAACCAGCCAUGCCGCGUGCAGGAAGACAGCCCUCUGGGUCGUAAACUGCUUUUAUUCGGGAAUAAACCACAUUACGUGUAGUGUGCUGAAUGUACCGAAGGAAUGAGGAUCGGCUAACUCCGUGCCAGCAGCCGCGGUAAUACGGAGGAUCCAAGCGUUAUCCGGAUUUAUUGGGUUUAAAGGGUGCGUAGGCGGCUUAUUAAGUCAGGGGUGAAAGACGGUGGCUCAACCAUCGCAGUGCCCUUGAUACUGAUGAGCUUGAAUGAACUAGAGGUAGGCGGAAUGUGACAAGUAGCGGUGAAAUGCAUAGAUAUGUCACAGAACACCGAUUGCGAAGGCAGCUUACUAUGGUUUUAUUGACGCUGAGGCACGAAAGCGUGGGGAUCAAACAGGAUUAGAUACCCUGGUAGUCCACGCCCUAAACGAUGAAUACUCGCUGUUAGCGAUAUACAGUUAGCGGCUAAGCGAAAGCGUUAAGUAUUCCACCUGGGGAGUACGCCCGCAAGGGUGAAACUCAAAGGAAUUGACGG
This 908-nucleotide ribosomal RNA is filed under the name uncultured bacterium. RNAcentral's name for it is "bacterial SSU rRNA". It matches the Rfam family "Bacterial small subunit ribosomal RNA", at positions 8 to 916 of the family's 1533-position model. The record is from RNAcentral.